GCUACCACAACGAUGGCAUUGAACGAAUCCCCGCACUGCGUACACUAUUCUGUCUGAAAUUCCCCCUCUGCUAGAAGGUCGCGUUGGACACGAGGUCAUUUUCUCUGCGAGAGUUAUGAGAUCCUGCCAUGCCGGAAAUGAAGACGCAAGAUGCAGAAAUGAACAAGUGUAAGACGACACGGCACAGCAUGCCGAGACCUAGAGUGAUGCCUCAAAAUGAGCAGUAAAAUGUCGCCCCCCUUCGCACAGCAGAUGCCAAGCUGUCCGCUCCCAUCACCUUCACUCACCCACACAUUCUGGGCCUCCAUCUCUUUCUCUCUCGCCGUCUCGCAUUCUCUCCAAAGUCCUCCUUAUAUUCUUGCCAGCCACGCGCUUCCUGUUUCUUUCUCUCCUUCCGCUGCUCUCCCCUUGACCCAUCUGGCGAGCUCCUGGGAGGUAGGCAACAUGCUUUAUUCAUGCCGGGGAUUUGCCAUUCCUCCCGUGGACCCCCGCUGGCACUCACUUGCAGGCCGGUGGAAGGAGCCCCCAUCCUCUCCCCUCUUCCUACUCUCCCCCUCUGCACCCCCUUCUCUCUCUCUCUCUGUCCAUCCUAUGAAGCAAUGCGCCGCCUCGGACGGAAAGCCAUGCCUCCCCCUUUUUCCCAGACGGAACGGGGAGAAAAUAAGACGAAACGAGAUAACAACAGAAUGCUUAUCCAACACUCAUAACAACGAACAACGAGCCACAGCCGCUAUGUCUUCUCCGCCCACGCCGUGGUAGCGAAAAUCCGUGCAAGUGGGCCCCGAAGAUAUCAUGCUUAAUUUUACUUGAAUAAAAAGUAAACAAUUUUUGUCGCAGAACAAG
Molecule: long non-coding RNA, 843 nt
Organism: Frankliniella occidentalis (western flower thrips)
Lineage: Eukaryota; Metazoa; Arthropoda; Insecta; Thysanoptera; Thripidae
Exons: 2
Source: RefSeq, a predicted model, not a curated record